UACGUAGGUGGCAAGCGGUGUCCGGAAUUACUGGAUGUAAAGGGCGUGUAGGCGGGAAAGCAAGUCAGAUGUGAAAUCCCAUGGCUUAACUGUGGAGCUGCAUCUGAAACUGUUUUUCUUGAGUAUCGGAGAGGAAAGUGGAAUUCCAAGUGUAGCGGUGAAAUGCGUAGAGAUUUGGAGGAACACCAGUGGCGAAGGCGGCUUUCUGGACGAUAACUGACGCUGAGGCGCGAAAGCGUGGGGAGCAAACAGG
Molecule: ribosomal RNA, 253 nt
Filed under: uncultured bacterium
Lineage: Bacteria
Description: partial 16S ribosomal RNA
Rfam family: Bacterial small subunit ribosomal RNA
Source: RNAcentral